Molecule: long non-coding RNA, 335 nt
Organism: Frieseomelitta varia
Lineage: Eukaryota; Metazoa; Arthropoda; Insecta; Hymenoptera; Apidae
Exons: 3
Source: RefSeq, a predicted model, not a curated record
UUAUUUAUUAUUUAAUUUAUUAAAUUUAUUUAACAGAUUAAAUUUUUAUAUUUUAGAAAUAUUAAACAUUAUGAAUAUUAAUAAUUUAAAAUUUGUUUAUAUAAUUUUAUCUUUUUUAGUAAAAAUUCCAAUAUAUAUAUUUCAUGGAUGAUUAUUAAAAGCUCAUGUUGAAGCUUCAUUUUUUAGUUCAAUAAUUUCAGCUUCAAUUAUAUUAAAAUUAGGAAGAUAUGGUUUAUUACGAAUUAUAUAUAUAAUAAAAUUUAUAUUUAAUAAAUUUUAUAUGAAUUUAAUAAUAAUUAAUUUAAGAAUUAUAUUUUUAAAAAUAAUAUGUUUAU